Molecule: transfer RNA, 116 nt
Filed under: Operophtera brumata (winter moth)
Lineage: Eukaryota; Metazoa; Arthropoda; Insecta; Lepidoptera; Geometridae
Rfam family: tRNA
About the family: Transfer RNA (tRNA) molecules are approximately 80 nucleotides in length.
Source: Rfam by way of RNAcentral
GUCAGGAUGGCCGAGCGGUCUAAGGCGCCAGACUCAAGGUUCCCUUGCUCGCUGAACGCGAGUUCGAGUUAUUCUGGUCCUCUCUGAGGGCGUGGGUUCGAAUCCCACUUCUGACA